UGAGGAAGUAAAAGUCGUAACAAGGUCUCCGUUGGUGAACCAGCGGAGGGAUCAUUACUGAGUUUACGCUCUACAACCCUUUGUGAACAUACCUACAACUGUUGCUUCGGCGGGUAGGGUCUCCGCGACCCUCCCGGCCUCCCGCCUCCGGGCGGGUCGGCGCCCGCCGGAGGAUAACCAAACUCUGAUUUAACGACGUUUCUUCUGAGUGGUACAAGCAAAUAAUCAAAACUUUUAACAACGGAUCUCUUGGUUCUGGCAUCGAUGAAGAACGCAGCGAAAUGCGAUAAGUAAUGUGAAUUGCAGAAUUCAGUGAAUCAUCGAAUCUUUGAACGCACAUUGCGCCCGCCAGCAUUCUGGCGGGCAUGCCUGUUCGAGCGUCAUUUCAACCCUCAAGCUCUGCUUGGUGUUGGGGCCCUACAGCCGAUGUAGGCCCUCAAAGGUAGUGGCGGACCCUCCCGGAGCCUCCUUUGCGUAGUAACUUUACGUCUCGCACUGGGAUCCGGAGGGACUCUUGCCGUAAAACCCCCCAAUUUUCCAAAGGUUGACCUCGGAUCAGGUAGGAAUACCCGCUGAACUUAAGCAUAUCAAA
This 592-nucleotide ribosomal RNA is filed under the name Colletotrichum gloeosporioides. RNAcentral's name for it is "eukaryotic LSU rRNA". The stretch from base 230 to 383 matches the Rfam family "5.8S ribosomal RNA". The record is from RNAcentral. Lineage: Eukaryota; Fungi; Ascomycota; Sordariomycetes; Glomerellales; Glomerellaceae.